GGUAUGGGUUAGGGUAUGGGUUUGGGUUAGGGUAUGGGUAUGGAUUAGGGUAUGGGUUAGGGUAUGGGUUUUGGUCAGGGUACGGGUAUGGAUUAGGGUAUGGGUUUGGGUUUGUGUAUGGGUUUGGGUAUGGGUUUGGGUUAGGGUAUGGGUAUGGAUUAGGGUAUGGGUUUGGAUUAGGUCUAACCUAACCUAACACAGUCUCCACAGUGACGUCACAGACCCGAAUUAUCCAUAAUUAUUAUUUUAUUUAUCGAUUAUGAUCGAUUUUUAUCAAUAAGUUGUUGCAGCCCAAGUUGUUCUUUCAGGGGAAUUCUUGAAGGUUCUACGUAGAACUUAUAAGAGCGAGAGAACCUACAUCGUUGAAGUACAACCCAAUACCCAUCCAAAGAACUCUAGACAAACUGUUUUGUUUUGUUUUGUUUUUCAGGAAAAAAGAACCCUGAUAUUCUGAUAAACAUGGAAACCAAGUACAGGUAUUUACAUCACUACCCUUUAUAGCUAGAUAGUGAAUAAAAUCUUUUUAGGCACAUUAGGUAGCACUUUAACUGCAAAAAAUCAACAACAAAAAAACCACAAUAGAACAUCUACAAGUUGUAAGAGUUCUACGGGUUGUUCCACUAGGGGAGACGUUAACAUGUUUAUGUAAAACCCUACAGUACAACAGAGGAUAUCUAUUUCAAGGGUUAAAAAAAAAGGAUUCAAAGAACCCUCAAAGAACUACUGAGGAACGUGAAAAGCAAUCUGUGUGCAAAACGAUGAGCAAGAGUGAGCGACGGACCAGGCGGGAGGACAAACUGUCCAUUGUCCCACUAAUUUGAUGAUAGAGACCAUUUCCAAUCAGCUCAGUGUCUUUUGUUUCACAGAAAACCAACCACAUGUCUCUCAGUCAGUGAACUCUAAAUGAUUUUUAAUCCUGUCUGCAAAGUGGCCGGUCUGAUCAGGCUGACAGACGCUUCCACUUGUUCACUUCAUUCCCCCUGACUGGAAUGGAUCUCACCCACUUUGCGUGACGGCGAAGGACAUCAGGACAUUCUGAAAUGUUUCCUCCAAUAUCUCCAUGAUAGCUAGCAUUAUUGAGUCAGAAGCUUCAUUACAUGAGGCCAGGAUUACGCUACAAUUACUUCCCUCUGAUACAGUGAGACAUAGGACGUCGGUCCAUCUUCAGUACAGGACAAAAUGAUAUCCAAAUCCUGGCGAAGGACGACAAUAUUCGCAUGGCGGUUUGGCUAUCGGUAUACUUCCGAACAAACAAACAUCGACCCGAACAGUGUGAACGUGGGUACGCAGAGAAAGGUUUAUAACCGUGUUGAAUGUCCCAGACAUGCUGAGACGCAUGGUGGAACUGAAUUCUUCCUUCCUGAUUAGCACUGGCCUCGCUCAAAGAACACACUGGAAGCACACAGCAUAAAUCUCUCAGCAAAGAAUUAGAAAUGGAGGCAUGUCACAUAUUUCAACGGUCACUGGUUCACAGCGAGAGAUCUUAUUUGGCAGCAGAUCACUUAGCGUGACGGGCUGAGGUUCUCCGGACUGGUCCUCCGCAGAAUCAUGUAUAUAUAGGCCUCUAUCUCCAUGGUGUGUGUAAAUAGUACAAAUUCACCCUAAAGUUUCCAAGUACAGCCCUUUGUAGAGCGUUCAAAGAAACAUUCAAAGAACUUUUCCAGCACGCUUUUGGAAGAGCUUUCACGCUUAAAAAUGGUCCGUGGAGAACCCCAGAACAGAGAACUUUCCUCUACAGGAAGCUUGGAUCUUACACUUGCUAAGAAUCCUUGAGAUCUAAACCCCCCCCCCAAAGAAAUGAAUCUAAUUUUGCUCCUCUAGGGGGAACCCCCUCAAUGGGUUUACGUAGAUCCCUACAUUUAUUUAUUUAUUUACUUAUUUAUUCUUACACAAUAAGGAACCCCUUAAGGAAGUUCUUCAGGUUGUUCCUCUAGGGGAACCCCCUAAAAGGCGUUUAUGUUUUCCAAAUAAAGGAACCUGAGUUCUUCAGAUUAUUCCUUCAGGGGAACCUCAUAAGGGCUAUACGGAGGAUCUCUCUCAGGAAAAAGAAAACAACGACUUGUAAAGCUUCUUUACAGAACUAGAACUGUUAAAAGAACCCUCAGAGAACUUUGAAAGUGUUUACUCUUAUUUCUCACCCAAAGUAGGGAACCAUGUAGUUCCAUCCAACGCCCUAAAGGGUUCUUCAGUCAGUCGCUAAAAUAGAGGAGUUCCCUUUCAGAAAAAUAAAUAAAUAAAUGCCGAGCUCUUGGGCUAUCUAUCCUAAGAGAAUCAUCUUGAGGAACCAUUUUUAGUUUUUCUAACAUUGUACAUGAUGGCUCUCCUUAUUCUCCCAUCCCUAACAUGCCUAGGCAGCCUCAGUCUUUAUAGCAGUGAUGAUAUCUGACAAGUCCACACUAACAAAAAUGUGCAAGAUGAAUAUCGCAGUCUGCUGCAUGCCCGCUUAUCAGCAUGUGUCUCACAGGAAUUUAUGACGUCACUGGUACUUACCAGUGUAGCUCUGAGAUGUGUGUUUGGUUAGCUGUGUUCUCUGGGCUGGGUCCUCGAGGACGUCUCACAAGCACCCUGAGAGGGGAAAAGAACAGCAUUGUCAAGAGCGGGAACGGAGGAAGCAUGGGAAUCGUGCGGCGUGUGAAAAACAAACAUGAUAUAGAAGAGCAAAAUAGGACGGAGGCAAAUUCCCAAAUCCAGCUCGAGGUUAUCCACGACAUGACGACAGCGUGACUUCUUCACGAGUAAUGUACCGGGAUAGCUUGCUCUCUUCAUCUAACCGGCUCUGGAAGCGCCAAUAAAACCCUCAGGGUUUUACGAACACCUACAGUAUGUAUAAUUGCCCUAUUAGACAUGAGUAAACACACGGGUGUUAAGUCGACACUGGAAAUUUAUCCUGUAAGACUCCUUCAAUAGCUAGUUCAUCCACAUCGUCAUGGCGGCUCUAUUCAGUGGGUAAUUACAGUUAAUAAGAUCGCAGCAGUUAAUCGGCGUGACGUCGCCCCGUUUUGUACCGAGAGUACACUGUGUACGCUUCGAAAAGGUCUCGAACAAUUCCCCGCCGAUGCGCACACAACUAAUUAUGGACUGUCGUCUCACACCCGUCUGUCCUCGACAUCUCACGCCCGUCUGAGAACAAAAGGGAAAAGAAAUGUAUUGCCGUUGGAUGAUCUGCGGUUAGUUUGACAAUAAAGCUUUUUACGUUAAAUGACUUAAGAGAAGUGUUCACACCUCGGCCCAUGAGAAGUGUACACACAAGAGACGCACGAGAACUUGUGCGGAAGUAAGGAAGGAAAGAAGGGAAGAAGGAAAAAGAAGGAAUUGCAGCGACAGGGAAGGAAGGAAGGAAGGAAGGAAAAAAGGAAGUACAUCAAUGCAGAUGGAAGGAAGGAAGGGAAGAAGGAAAUGAGUAAAGGAAGGAAAUGCAGAGACAAGGAAGGAAGGAAGGAAGGAUGGAAGGAAGUACAUCAAUGCAGAUGGAAGGAAGUAAGGAAAGAAGGAAAUGAGUAAAGGAAGGAAGUACAGAAUCAAGGAAAGAAGGAAAUGCAGAGACAAGGAAGGAAGGAAAGAAGGAAAGAAGGAAAGGAAGGAAGUACGGAGACAAGGAAGGAAGGAAGGAAGGAAGUACAUCAAUGCAGAUGGAAGGAAGUAAGGAAAGAAGGAAAUAAGUAAAGGAAGGAAGUACAGAAUCAAGGAAAGAAGGAAAUGCAGAGACAAAGAAGGAAGGAAAGAAGGAAAGAAGGAAAGGAAGGAAGUACGGAGACAAGGAAGGAAGGAAGGAAGUACAGAGACAAGGAAGUAAGGAAGGAAGUACAUCAAUGCAGAUGGAAGGAAGUAAGGAAAGAAGGAAAUGAGUAAAGGAAGGAAGUACAGAGACAAGGAAAGAAGGAAAUGCAGAGACAAGGAAGGAAGGAAAGAAGGAAAGAAGUAAAGGAAGGAAGUACAGAGACAAGGAAGGAAGGAAGUACAUACAUCAAUGCAGAUGGAAGGAAGUAAGGAAAGAAGGAAAUGAGUAAAGGAAGGAAGUACAGAAUCAAGGAAAGAAGGAAAUGCAGAGACAAAAAAGGGAGGAAAGAAGGAAAGAAGUAAAGGAAGUAAGUACAGAGACAAGGAAGGAAGGAAAUGCAGAGACAAGGAAGGAAGGAAGGAAAAAAG
Long non-coding RNA from Ictalurus punctatus (channel catfish), 4146 nucleotides. The record is from Ensembl. NCBI's taxonomy places the organism in Eukaryota, Metazoa, Chordata, Actinopteri, Siluriformes, Ictaluridae.